ACUUGUGAAUUCUCAGCAUGUAUUGAAAUAGCUUGACGUGCAAUUUCACGGAGUAAACCACGUAUGUCAGCUCAGUCAGUACACGCUGAGAAGCUCGGAC
Molecule: non-coding RNA, 100 nt
Organism: Bombyx mori (domestic silkworm)
Lineage: Eukaryota; Metazoa; Arthropoda; Insecta; Lepidoptera; Bombycidae
Source: RefSeq, marked provisional